This 327-nucleotide ribosomal RNA is filed under the name Cercozoa sp. RNAcentral describes it as "SSU rRNA". The stretch from base 115 to 327 matches the Rfam family "Eukaryotic small subunit ribosomal RNA", at positions 741 to 955 of the family's 1831-position model. The record is from RNAcentral. Lineage: Eukaryota; Cercozoa.
GAUUUCUGGCACAGUGUGAUUGGCCCGCCACGGUUUCGUGUGUGAGUGCUGAUUUAUACUUGCCAUCCUUCUAGUGGUCUAUAUAGCUCCCUUCAUUGGGUGUCUGUAUAGUUGCCCUAGAUCUUUUACUUUGAAAAAAUUAGAGUGUUUAAAGCAGGCUUUUGCUAUGAAUACAUUAGCAUGGAAUAAUAAUUUAGGACUUCGGUUCUAUUUUGUUGGUUUCUAGGACUGAAGUAAUGAUUGAUAGGGAUAGUUGGGGGUGCUAGUAUUCAGCGGCCAGAGGUGAAAUUCUCGGAUUCGCUGAAGACUAACUUAUGCGAAAGCAUU